CUCAUGAUUACAAUUAUGUGUUUCCAUUCUUCAGUCGUCCUGAAAAGCCAUAUGGAUAUUCUAAUAAUGAAUAUUCGUCUUGAUCAUCUAGCAUGCCUGGAGUGAUAGCUACUUGAGUAUAUAUCACCAUAAUCUUUCGAAAGUGGAAAUCCUCGCAAUCUAUCAUUCCCUUCAACUGAGCUGUUUUGAAAUGUAGCAAAUUAAUAGGUCCAUACAAAUCCAUGUGGAGAAGUUUCAGGGGUCUAGAGGUACUCACUAGUUUCUUUGACUUGAAGAAGGAUCUAGUCUGCUUCCCUUUAACGCAAGCAUCACACACCUUGGUGCUUGCAAACUCAACUUGGGCAUACCUCGAAUCAGGUCCUUA
This 364-nucleotide long non-coding RNA is filed under the name Capsicum annuum. RNAcentral's name for it is "long non-coding RNA (CANN_LNC007295)". The record is from RNAcentral. Lineage: Eukaryota; Viridiplantae; Streptophyta; Magnoliopsida; Solanales; Solanaceae.